RNAcentral lists this long non-coding RNA (460 nucleotides) under Lathyrus oleraceus (garden pea). Its description in RNAcentral is "Pisum sativum (pea) long non-coding RNA (PSAT_LNC009474)". Lineage: Eukaryota; Viridiplantae; Streptophyta; Magnoliopsida; Fabales; Fabaceae. The record is from RNAcentral.
UGGAUAGGUUGGCAUGCAUUAGUACAGACUAGGUGGGAGUGUUGCAUUCAAGGGUGUGACACGUGUAAGGCAUGCGUGGGAAUCUCUGAGACAGAAUAGGUGAAGACUUGAUGGGGAACAGGCAUGCGUGGGAAUCUCUGAGACUUGGUGGUGAAGACUUGAUGGGGGAACAGGCAUGCAUGGGAAUCUCUGAGACUAGGUUCAGGCUAUAGUGGAUAGGUUGGCAUGCAUUAGUACAGGACUAGGUGGGAGUGUUGCAUUCAAGGGUGUGACACGUGUAAGGCAUGCGUGGAAUCUCUGAGACAGAAUAGGUGAAGACUUGAUGGGGAACAGGCAUGCGUGGGAAUCUCUGAGACUUGGUGGUGAAGACUUGAUGGGGAACAGGCAUGCAUGGGAAUCUCUGAGACUAGGUUCAGGCUAUAGGUGGAUAGGUUGGCAUGCAUUAGUACAGACUAGGUGG